RNAcentral lists this ribosomal RNA (372 nucleotides) under uncultured bacterium. RNAcentral's name for it is "bacterial SSU rRNA". It matches the Rfam family "Bacterial small subunit ribosomal RNA", at positions 28 to 361 of the family's 1533-position model. The record is from RNAcentral.
GAUGAACGCUGGCGGCGUGCCUAAUACAUGCAAGUCGAACGCAUUGUGGUUGAAAUGAUAUGAAGAACUUGUUCAGAUUUGAUUUUCAACAUUGCAAUGAGUGGCGAACGGGUGAGUAACACGUGGGAAACCUACCUCUUAGCAGGGGAUAACAUUUGGAAACAAAUGCUAAUACCGUAUAAUAAUUAAAACCGCAUGGUUUUAGUUUAAAAGAUGGUCUUGCUAUCACUAAGAGAUGGUCCCGCGGUGUAUUAGUUAGUUGGUGAGGUAAUGGCUCACCAAGACAAUGAUACAUAGCCGAGUUGAGAGACUGACCGGCCACAAUGGGACUGAGACACGGCCCAUACUCCUACGGGAGGCAGCAGUAGGGAA